RNAcentral lists this long non-coding RNA (946 nucleotides) under Callithrix jacchus (white-tufted-ear marmoset). Its description in RNAcentral is "lncRNA (ENSCJAG00000058763.2)". The record is from RNAcentral. Lineage: Eukaryota; Metazoa; Chordata; Mammalia; Primates; Cebidae.
GCCACUGCUCUACACAAAAUGAGAAAACGCUUCUCACUGGUUAAAGAGGGGUGAUGCUUCUGGAAAGGACACAGUCCCCAGUAAUGGAAACAACUCCACGCCUUGCCUCUGCUUGAAGAGCAAAGACUGAAGUUUCCAGAUGAAGACACCAUUAUGUCUCAAGACUGGAACAUGGAAACCCUGCCUGAAUUUUCUACUUGCUGACCUACCCCACAGAUUCAGACACUAGCCUGCAACAUCAACCUGUACUUGAAUUUCCAGUCUGAGUGUCUGCCCUACAGAUUUUGGACUUGCCAGCCCCCACAAUUGCAUGAGCAAAUUUUAAAAAAUAGUCUUCUUUCUUUCUCUCUCUCCAUCUCAUUGGUUCUCUUUUCCUCCUGCAUACCCUGAUUAACGCAGCAUCCAAACUAAAUGCAACAUACCAAAAAAUUUUAAGAGCAUGAAAAAGGAAGAGGUAGGGAUGACAGGCACCUAUUAUUAAAACUUCCUAUGUUGUUAAGAACGUUGAAUUUCCUCCUUGACAUUUAAAAGGACUGCACCUCAGGUUUUUUUCUUUCAGUUUUAACUCAAAAAUGUAUAAUUGGGAUUAUGGUAAUAACACAAUUGCUUAAGACAAAAUAUUAUCCCAGCAAAAAAAACUGGGAUAGUACUGUGACGUCUUUUUUUUCUUUCUUUCUUUCUUUCUUUUUUUGAGACAGAGUUUUGCUGUUGUUACCUAGGCUGGAGUGCAAUGGCACAAUCUCGGCUCACCGCAAUCUCCGCUUCCUGGGUUCAAGCAAUUCUCCUGCCUCAGCCUCCCGAGUAGCGGAUUACAGGCACGCGCCACCAUGCCCAGCUAAGGUACAUAUCUGGGUACUAGAGAUGCAACAGAGAACAAAAUCAGCAAGACUUCCUGAUCUCCUGGAGCUUGUAAUCUAACAGGUAUUUGUCUGGGGAUGGCUGUGCA